RNAcentral lists this long non-coding RNA (3803 nucleotides) under Mytilus galloprovincialis (Mediterranean mussel). Lineage: Eukaryota; Metazoa; Mollusca; Bivalvia; Mytilida; Mytilidae. The record is from RNAcentral.
AUUAUAUUUAAAAAUGCGAAGUUUUACAAUCAUUAUCUUAGAGGAUCAAUAAUUUUGUUUAUUUAUUUUUCGAAAAGUUUGAGAAUAAUCAGAUCUCUUACCAAAUUCAAAAGGCAAGACAUUAGCGGUAGGUGCUUUGCAAUUUUUAUUUCAGUUUUCAUUCAUUUGCUCAAUACAUAGUUUGAGGCGUAUUAUGAUAGAUAGCCGCAUAUAUUACAUAUGAUGAAGAUGGAUUUCAAAUACUUGGAGCUUACAUACAAAAUCAAACGUCUUUGAUACAUAUACUUAUUUUUACUACAGUGUUAUACAGUUAUAUUAUAAAAUAAACCACUGCAACAGAGUAAAGUGCGUUUCAUCAAUUUACCAAUCAAGUUCGAAAAUACAGGGUUGAGAUUGAUAAAGUGUUGCCCAGUCAUGUGUAUUUUUUGAUAUUGUAAGAUCAUUGGUAAUCUCUGUCAAAUUUAGUCUAUAUAUUUUUUCUACACAGUCAUACAUUACGUUGAAUUGUCUUCAAGAUAAGUAAAGUUAUGCUGAUCACAUCAAUUAUGUAAGAAUUUCCUUCUUUUAUAUCAAGAUAUGAUAUAACAUCAACAUAUGGAUAUUAAUUUGGAUAAAACUGAUAACAUUGAGAAUGGAAAUUGGGAAUGUGUCAAAGAGACAACAACCCGACCAAAUAAAAAACAACAGCAGAGGGUCACCAACAGAUCUUCAAUGUAGCGAGAAAUUCCCGCACCCGGAGGCGUCCUUCAGCUGGCCCCUAAACAAAUAUAUACUAGUCCAGUGAUAAUGAACGCCAUACUAAUUUCCAAUUGUACACAAGAAACUAAAAAUUAAAAUAAUACAAGACUAAACAAAGGCCAGAGGCUCCUGAUUUCGGACAGGCGCAAAAAUCGCGGGGUUAAACAUGUUUGUGAGAUCUCAACCCUCCCCCUAUACCUCUAACCAAUGUAGAAAAGUAAACGCAUAACAAUACACAUAUUUGGAUAAAACUGACUCAUUUUCUUUUGCGUUCGUGUAACAUUAUAAAAACAAUUUAGUUUAUGUAUUUUUUUUUUUAUUUCGACUAAUCAUUUAUUUAAACAGUUUUGCCACAGACACGGAAAAAGGAAAAUGAAAUAUAUCAUAAUUGUUGCAGUAAUGUGUCUCAUUAUCAACGGUGAGUUAUUAAAGUUAGUAAACCGGGUUAGUCUUCAAAAUGUAUCCGUAUUGAUUCCAUAUUUUCUGACAUCUUGUAAUAACACACUUAAGACUUUUUCCCACUAUUUCAAGUGUAUUGUUAAAAUUUGUAAAAUAUCAACGUAUCUGCAUAUCCAUCUUGUUGUUGCAUUAUUGUAGAAUUGGUCCCCAAAAAGAGUCCUUUUUAAAAGUGUCUUUAAAUUAAAAAUCAUUUCUAAUAAACGGAGACACCAUUUAUUAUGUUCGUGUAUUAAAAAGAAGGGUUAUCUUUUGUAUAAGCUUAUCUUUUUCUAUUUACAGAGAGUCAUGAGCAUUUAUCAGCUGUCAUAAUUUUUUUAUAAUAGAGGGUUAAAUGUAAUCAUAUAUAUAUGGGCUUGUCCCGACAUUUUAUUUCUGAAAAUGGGAUUAGUUGUGCUUUCAUCAAAAGUUUGACAGUCAGUAUUCUUGAUGUUUAUGUUUCAAAUGAUCCAUUGCAUGAUAAUUACAGAUAUAUAAUGGUUUAUUUUAAUAAAUUAUGACUUUGAUGGAAAUGUGUCUCGUUGGCACUCAUACCACAUCUUCCUUUAUCUACAUAUUUAUAUUUCAGACUUGACUCUACCUAUGGUACACGCCAGCAGCUGUAAAAGUAACCGUGCUAAGAAUGCAUGUGACUGGUUUUGCCACCGAAGUGGAUGUAAUGAUGCUACUUGUACAAAAUAUCGCUGUAGAUGUAAUAGCUGUAAGUAAAUUACUUCCUUAGAAUAUUUCAUAAUUCGUAUCUGAUGACUGUCAUACACAUAUUCUGAAGUAAAUACAAAUGUUAAGGAAGAAAAUGACAAUCUGAAAUAAUGCUAUAAAAGUGCAAAAUGUUUUUCUUUCAUAUCAAAUAAGAACUUAGUUUAUGAACGACUAAGCCUAGCUUCGAGCCUUGUAAAAAUUUUCAACCUCGCUUUAUUUUUCAAUUAUAGGUAACAAAAUUUAAAAUUUAGCACAAAAUUGAACUGUUUAAAUGUUAUCUUGAGACAGGGACGACUUUCGCGUGAUAGUUUUUAUCUUAAAAUAUACAAGGAAUUAGAAUUAUAAAGGUGUGAGAAAUGAUCGAAUGUCUUUUACAAAUCUGCUGGUGAUAAAUGAUUUCAUGAAAAAAAAUUAUACUGCCAUUUUUUUAAUAAAUUGUCAUGAGAUAAAAUAUCUUAUAAACAGGACAUAUCUGAUUUUUGUUUUUACUGAUUUACCUCAUAUUGAUUUUUUUAGUAUUGAGAACCUCGCCAUUUAGUGUCUCCUCCAUGUUUUGAUGGCUAUUAAAGUUGAAGCGGAUAAUGUCGAAAUAUGUUGAUACUUUAUUAACAUUUACAUGUAUAAAUCGAUGAUUAAGUUGACCUACUUCUUUUUUCGAUCACUUUAGCAUCCCUCCUCAUCAGAUUUUCUGAAUAUUUACUGCCAACCUUUUUCGUAUCUCCUGAAAUAAAAACAGUAUAGUUUGCUUUAAAAAAAAUCUGCCAAUGCUCGUCCAUUUGAACAAUACUUUUCCCUUCUUGUGAAUUCGUUUUGACAUUUCAAUUUUUAAUUCAUCUGAACAUUAUAAUCAAUUUAACCCUACUUCUUCUUCGUCUAACACAUUGUCUUAUUGAUUUAAAUAACGGAAAAAACAAUGCUUGCACGAAUAGGUACACACGAUCAUUUAACACAGAGCCGUAACUUGCCUCUUGAAAGUGAGGCAAAAUAUAUUCUAACCGAGCAAAGCGAUGCAAAAAAAAAAAAAUCUUAGACGGGUCAGGGUUGGGGUUAGGGUGGUCUUUAAGAGACAAAUGAAAACGCUUCAUGCAUCUCACAGAACAAACAAAAUAUUUGAAUAACGUAUGCAAAGCUUUACUUUUGUUUGUUAUCAAUCAUAAAAGAACAUGAGUUGUCUCAUUGGCACUCACACUACAUCUUCCUAUAUAUAUGGAAAGGUUUAUAAACUCAUAAAACUAUGAGUUAUUACCAAUAUAAAAAUAAAAGCAUGUGAUAUCAUUGCAACUGCGAAAUCGGCGUUCAAAUGAAGUGGGAACAAUAAAAAAUAGUCAGCAAGAAGAAAUAUUCAUACUUUGUAGUUGUCUAAAAAGGCCCAAACGUGAACAAUGAACAAAAAAUCAAACGAUUUGCGAAAAAUAAACUUAAACCAAAAACGAGUAAGGUUAUCUGAACCAUGUGUUUUUCUUUUUUGAGUAUAUGUUGAGUUCGGAGACGUCGGGCGUGGGCCUUUGGACAGAUAAGUUUUGCUGUUAUAAAAAUGUAUCAUAUAAUGCAUAUGAAUUAUUGAUGAUGAUACAUAUAAACAUUUUCACGUAAAUAUUUUAGGAAAUAAAUUAUUACCCAUAACACAAAAUAUGACAUUAUGAAGUAAAAUUAUUUUUUGAAAUUAUAAACAAAGUAUACGCUAUGCAACAUUUCAUAAUUAUCUAUUUAUAAUUGCAGGUUAUACCCCGUCACAUUGUCCUCCUUCAUUUCCGGGUCUCCCACGACCACCUGGCUGUUGAAAGUGUGAUCAAUGGAGAGCUGGCAACCUGAAAAUGUGACUUUAGAAAAUUGAAAUAAAUGUUAUAUCUACUAUUGUGUCAGAAUUUCAAAUUAUAAAGUCACAUUAUCGAAUAAAAAAUGCCAUCGAA